CCUACGGGUGGCAGCAGUGAGGAAUAUUGGUCAAUGGGCGGGAGCCUGAACCAGCCAAGCCGCGUGAGGGAAGAAGGUACAGCGUAUCGUAAACCUCUUUUGUCAGGGAGCAAAUGCGGGGACUAGUCCCCGGAUGCGGGUCCCUGAAGAAAACGCAUCGGCAAACUCCGGGCCAGCAGCCGCGGUAAUACGGGGGAUGCGAGCGUUAUCCGGGUUUAUUGGGUUAAAGGGGUGCGCAGGCGGCCGGUUAAGGCAGCGGUAAAAGCCCGGGGCUCAACCCCGGCGAGCCGUUGAAACUGGGGGGGUGGAGUUGGAGAGAAGUACGCGGAAUGCGCGGUGUAGCGGUGAAAUGCUUAGAUAUCGCGCAGAACCCCGAUUGCGAAGGCAGCGUACCGGCUCCAAACUGACGCUGAGGCACGAAAGCGUGGGUAUCGAACAGGAUUAGAUACCCGAGUAGUC
Molecule: ribosomal RNA, 459 nt
Filed under: uncultured bacterium
Lineage: Bacteria
Description: partial 16S ribosomal RNA
Rfam family: Bacterial small subunit ribosomal RNA
Source: RNAcentral